CACAUGCAAGUCGAGGGGCAGCGGGGAGGUAGCAAUACCUUUGCCGGCGACCGGCGCACGGGUGAGUAACACGUAUGCAAUCCACCUGUAACAGGGGGAUAACCCGGAGAAAUCCGGACUAAUACCCCAUAAUAUGGGCGCUCCGCAUGGAGAGUUCAUUAAAGAGAGCAAUUUUGGUUACAGACGAGCAUGCGCUCCAUUAGCCAGUUGGCGGGGUAACGGCCCACCAAAGCGACGAUGGAUAGGGGUUCUGAGAGGAAGGUCCCCCACAUUGGAACUGAGACACGGUCCAAACUCCUACGGGAGGCAGCAGUGAGGAAUAUUGGUCAAUGGUCGGCAGACUGAACCAGCCAAGUCGCGUGAGGGAAGACGGCCCUACGGGUUGUAAACCUCUUUUGUCGGAGAGUAAAGUACGCUACGCGUAGCGUAUUGCAAGUAUCCGAAGAAAAAGCAUCGGCUAACUCCGUGCCAGCAGCCGCGGUAAUACGGAGGAUGCGAGCGUUAUCCGGAUUUAUUGGGUUUAAAGGGUGCGUAGGCGGCACGCCAAGUCAGCGGUGAAAUUUCCGGGCUCAACCCGGAGUGUGCCGUUGAAACUGGCGAGCUAGAGUGCACAAGAGGCAGGCGGAAUGCGUGGUGUAGCGGUGAAAUGCAUAGAUAUCACGCAGAACCCCGAUUGCGAAGGCAGCCUGCUAGGGUGCGACAGACGCUGAGGCACGAAAGCGUGGGUAUCGAACAGGAUUAGAUACCCUGGUAGUCCACGCAGUAAACGAUGAAUACUAACUGUUUGCGAUACAAUGUAAGCGGUACAGCG
This 811-nucleotide ribosomal RNA is filed under the name uncultured bacterium. Its description in RNAcentral is "bacterial SSU rRNA". It matches the Rfam family "Bacterial small subunit ribosomal RNA", at positions 52 to 853 of the family's 1533-position model. The record is from RNAcentral.